This 459-nucleotide ribosomal RNA is filed under the name uncultured bacterium. RNAcentral describes it as "partial 16S ribosomal RNA". It matches the Rfam family "Bacterial small subunit ribosomal RNA", at positions 338 to 795 of the family's 1533-position model. The record is from RNAcentral.
CCUACGGGGGGCAGCAGUGAGGAAUAUUGGUCAAUGGCCGCAGGGCUGAACCAGCCAAGUCGCGUGAGGGAUGACGGUCCUAUGGAUUGUAAACCUCUUUUGUCAGGGAGCAAAGGGCGCCACGUGUGGCGCUUUGCGAGUACCUGAAGAAAAAGCAUCGGCUAACUCCGUGCCAGCAGCCGCGGUAAUACGGAGGAUGCGAGCGUUAUCCGGAUUUUUUGGGUUUAAAGGGUCUGAGGGCGGAUGGUCAAGUCAGCGGUAAAAUUUCGGGGCUCAACCCCGUCGUGCCGUUGAAACUGGCGUUCUUGAGUGAGCGAGAAGUAUGCGGAAUGCGUGGUGUAGCGGUGAAAUGCAUAGAUAUCACGCAGAACUCCGAUUGCGAAGGCAGCAUACCGGCGCUCAACUGACGCUCAUGCACGAAAGCGUGGGUAUCGAACAGGAUUAGAUACCCCAGUAGUC